UCACUUCAGUUAUUAAGGGAUCUAUUUACACUUUGCUUUGUCUUUUCUCUCUUUUCAGCUGCUCUCAAUCAACCCACUUCUAUGCAAGAGGAAAAUGUCGCGAUAUAUCGCCGAAAUAUCGUGUGUCGGAGGGUAUCGACAUGAUAUUUCUUGGAGAAAUGGACCGAUAUUUCGCCAUUUAUCGCGAUAAAUCGGCGAUUUUUAUCCGAUAUAUCGCGUGGUCAAC
RNAcentral lists this long non-coding RNA (226 nucleotides) under Vitis vinifera (wine grape). RNAcentral describes it as "long non-coding RNA (VVIN_LNC004235)". Lineage: Eukaryota; Viridiplantae; Streptophyta; Magnoliopsida; Vitales; Vitaceae. The record is from RNAcentral.